GCCUGGGUGGCUCAGUCGGUUGAGCAUCUGACUUCAGCUCAGGUCAUGAUCUCGCGGUCUGUAAGUUCAUGCCCUACGUCGGGCA
RNAcentral lists this transfer RNA (85 nucleotides) under Felis catus (domestic cat). It matches the Rfam family "tRNA". From Rfam's summary of the family: Transfer RNA (tRNA) molecules are approximately 80 nucleotides in length. The record is from Rfam by way of RNAcentral. Lineage: Eukaryota; Metazoa; Chordata; Mammalia; Carnivora; Felidae.